CCCCAGCACCCAAUUGUAUACCCCAGUCGUAGGUCCUUCUACUUCUUCUACGUGGCACGCCACCUCAGCAUGGCUUGACUAGUGGUGUGUACGCCCACACCCAGGAUCCAAGCUGGAGAACCCUGGGCCGCUGAAGCGGAGCGUGAAAACUUAACCACUCGGCCACGGGGCUGGCCUCAAGGGCUGAUAUGUCUAAAUGAGCAAUACAAUAAAGACACACAAUUCAUGUAUGGUUAUAUAUUUAUCCAUAAAAUUAAUCUUCCUGGUUUUCAUUUCAGCAAAACCACUAAUUAUGUUGUUAUAAUCAAUAUUUUCACAUCAUUUGAGUCCUAUUAAAAGUAAUGCACACUAGAUGACCUUUCUCGAAUCUUUGGGUUUUUUUAAAUUUUCAAUGUGGAGAAAUUUUGCUCUGCAGAGGCAGCAGCAAUUGAAAUCGUCAAUAAAAUUCUUAAAGCAAUACUUUGAUUUGGAAAUGGAUCAUGAGUUUUAUAUACCAACAUUGUAAUUGGGUUGCAUCUGAUAUAUUCAUGAUCACAGACACUGUUACAAAUGUUUUAAUUUCAUCCUAUAAAUCACCAUCAUUUAUUUCAUGAUUUUCAAAAUCUCUUAAAACAAUAUUUAAAAAUAUACAGAUCCAUAUAGUGUUGUAAAGAGUUGAUAUCAUGCUUCACACAUAUUAUUGGUGCACCUACAUACAUCUGCAUUUAAGUGUACCGUGAACUGUUGUGGAUAUUGUGCUAAUUCACGAAUAAUUCCAGAACCAUCCGUUGGAACAUGAAGAGAAACCAGAGACUGUUGCAGGCGGGCCACUUGGAGAGGAGGAUGGCACAGCUACGUCAUCUUCCCUCUCUCCCAGGAGCUUCUACCACCAGCAUCUUCCUCGCUCUCCGAGGCAGCGUCAGAUCUGAGGUCAGCAGUGGCACACUCUACAAACCUUUGCAGCUUUGGGCGUGGUUACCUUCUGCUUGGAGAACACGGGGCAAAAGAUGUAGGGGAUACCUUGGGGCCUGGAGGGUGUCAGUCACCUGCAGAUGUUCAGCAUUGGGGGUUACACUGAGCCCGUGCCAUGUGACAGAGGGCCUUCUAAAGUGAUGGGCCCAGGACCCCGCCCACCCAGGGUGAUGGCCAGUACUGCACUUCUUGCUAAAUAACCAUAUAAAUAUUACUGUAGUGGAUUGAAUAGUGGUCCCCGAACAGAUAUACCCACAUCCUAGUCCCUAGAACCCGUGAAUGUGACCUUAUUUUUGCAGAUGUGUUAAAUUAGGGGUCUCGAGAUAAGAUCAUUCUGGAUUAUCUAGGUAGGCCCUAAAUACAAUAAUGUGUCCUUCUAAGAGACAAAUAGAAGAGAGACAGAGGGAGAAGGGGAGAAGGCUGCAUGAACUUGGAGGCAGAGACUGGAGCGAUGCAUGCAGCCCCAAGCCAAGGAAUGCCCACAGCCGCUGGAAGCUGCUAGAGGUGGGGAAGGAUACUCCCCAGAGCCCUCAGGGGAGCACCGAGCUGCCAACACCUUGCUUUCAGACUCCUGGUCCCUAGAGCUGCAAGAGAAUAAAUUUCUGUUGUGUUAAGUUACCAAAUUUGCGGUAAUUCGUCAUGGCAGCCCUAGGAGAUGAGGGCUAAGUACAAUUUCCCACAAUGUCCAGCAUUUGUCAGGGCUGAUUGUGUACCAGGCACUCUGCUGAGCCCUCUCUACAAGCAUCAUCUCACUUAAGCCUCACAAGGCACUGUUCUCACCCUCACUUUACAGAGGAGCGGAGAGAGGUUCUAAAAGGCAGGAAGCUGGCCCGAGGCCACGUGGCCAGGAAGCUGGGAUCUGAACCCAGGUCCGUCUGCUGCAAAGAUCUUAGAGCACCCGGAAGCCUCCUCGCCUGGUGACACAGCCGGCUGUAAGAUGGAUUUACCCUGUGCUUGGUGGCUUCUAGCUGAAUGUCACCUCCUCUUUGUCCCCCUACUUAAAAGAGGCCCACAUCUUUUAGCACUCUCUGCUCUAACCCUCGGCAAUUUACCACCACCUCAGAAGUGAGAUAUAAAUUACAACAGACCAUUCUUCUAACUCAACCGAUCAUGGGAACACUGUUUGCUGUUACAAAGAAACAUUCUAGGCAUACACAAUCACGCCUAGUUCUUUGCAUCUAUUUAUCCUCGGGGUCAUUCGGGUUUAUUCGCACACAUUGCCAAGAUGAAUCAGAAAUCUGGAGAAACCAUUUGUUCUUGGAGAAGGACAGCAGUCAGGAGGGUUUUUUGUUAGUUUCUUUUUGUUGAUUUUGAAUUUGUAUGAAGACUAUGUCCCGGUCCCAGGAGAAAACAGACAGAAAAGUUUGUUUUCUUAAGACUUAAAAUAUAUUCUCUGAGCUCACUAAGCCAUCAGAACAUGCCGCUGGGCUCUGACGAUGGCGUGAUUUAGGGAGUAAGCAUUUCUUUCCGCUCUAUGUUUGCCCUGUCUUUUGGGGACUAGAAGAGAUUGUUGUCCAUCUGCUGACAAGCCCCAAAACUGUGUGUGUGUGUGUGUGUGAGUGUGUGAGUGUGAGUGUGUGUGUGGUGUGGCUGGGGGAAGGGGGUCUGGAUGAGGUGGUUACUUUUAUGUUGUUACCCUUCAUUUAUUUUCUUUCAAACAAAAGCUACCCCAUUUCACAGGUGGAAACACUGAGUCCUGGUGGAUGGAAACGAUGUUCUCCAAGGUAACUCAACCAGACAGACUUAACUACAAAUGCCAUGCUGUCCUCUCAAGAAACCAUUCCAUUUAGUGAAAACGAGACCGGUUAUGCAAUGAGUUUGAGGCUAAUUUUAAAGCAAGUCAUGUGUCCUUCCCGUUGCUCUGACCCAAAUACGAGACAGGGACUCAAAGUUGCACACAAAGAAUACCCAAAACAAUCAGGACACUCGACAUGAGCCAUCUGGUUGAUGACGGGAAUGCAAGCGUCAUUUUUCAGCCACCGCAAGGCUCCGGCACUGGGGACUCGUUCAGCGUUCCAGUUAGGACACCGCCCGGAGACUGUGCCAGGGACCGGCCCCAGGUCGCUAGUUCUGUCUGCAGCCAGAUUUCUAGAGCAGUAAAGAGAAGCUAACCUAACCUCUCUCACAAAGGUGGCUUUGUGCUGUGCUGACCAACAGCAGUUAAUAGGGGUUUGAAGCCAGGGCCGGGGGCUUUCUCCUGAGGGCUGACGGGAGGGGAAGGACAGAGUCCUUAAGGGGCAGACACGCGUGAGCGCAGACAGAAGGUGUGGCCUGAUGCAACGAAAGUCUACGCUGAUCCCGCCUUUCUGAACCCCUUCUCCUGUCCAGGUCUGCAGCGCGCCGUCACUGGGCCCGGGCCCUAGGGCUUCCCUCUUCUCUCACGUCUCUCAACCAAAACCCGCUGGGAAAGAAGACGAGAAAUUCAUCCGCAUCAAGGAGAACGGACAAAUUUAUCUUCCUGGGAGCGUCCCGGAAAAAUAAUGGGUCUCUGGGCAGUUUCAGAUACCAGAGAGAGAGCCAGGAAGAAGAUAUGUCAGAUCUAUGCAUGGAACCACGGAACUUUCUGUCUGGCUAGCAGGGGAGGCUAACAAACAGAACUUCAUGUGGAUGUUUUGAAACAAGAAAGCAGGCUGAGCGUUGGCUGAGCAGAACUGCAAACCAGUUCUCCCCACUCUCGGUGUGGAGAUGACCAAGAGUCUGUCGUGGAAGAGAGAUUCAGAGCCAGGCCGGCUGCGAACCGAUACUGCCAGAUGGCAGAGCAGUCAAAAUAUUUAGCUGUGAAGCCCACACUGUGUUCGGGAAGAGGCUGAACUCACCUUCCUGCCGCAGACCCUGGUGGGCUCCCGUCUGUGGGUGCUGCCUGCCUCCUCAGCCGGCCGCUUCGGUGACUCACUGAGUGGCUCACUGAGUGACUCACUGAGUGACUCAGGCUGGGCUCUGGUGGUUCAUCCCUGGCAGGGAUUUAGCCAGCUGAACCAGCUUCCUCUCCCGCCUUCUAGUAAAAGAUAUCCUGUGUCGAAAACAGAGCCUUGACUGUACUUCUGUGAGAACGGCCCUACCUUGCUUCCGGGGAAUGUGGGGUUUUCUGGACCCAAUAACACACAGAAAAGCAAUAUUGCUCUCCAUGUUAUAGAGGGGAAACAUUGUGAGAAGACGGGCUUGCCCAGGUUCCGAGUGCUGGCGGGUGCACUUGAACGCCCGAGUCUUUUCUAUCACACUGAGGGUGGUGAGUCCAUUUGAAGAUUCCUUAAUGACGUGUGCAAGAUUGCAUAACUACUUGCUGCCCUCUGAAACUGAAACGUUCUUUUUCUAUAAAAUCAUGGUUUAGAAACCAAGAGCAGAAUCUACAAGGGAGAAGUUGUUUCCCCCCAUGUUUUGAAAAACAUUCAUUUCAGAUAAUGAAUCCCUGGGUGAUGGACUGGUUGAUUCUUUCAAAAGAAUUUAAUGACCCCUCCAUUAUACAAAUAAGAAGCGUUUAUUGCAGAAACUUUGGAAAAGUUAGAAAAAAACAAAGGGAAAAAUAAAAAUCACCCGUCAUUCUCCUAGUUAGAUAUAAUUGUUGUUAUUUUGAUGUGUGGCCAGCCCUGGUGGUCUGGGUUAAGAUGUGGCGCUCUCACUGCACGGCCCAGGUUUGUCUCCCAUCAGGGACCACACCACCCAUCAGUCGUUGUCACACUGCGGCAGCUGUGUGUUGCUGAAAGCUCUGCCACCGGGAUUUCAAAUACCAGCAGGGUCACCCAUGGUGGACAGGCUUCAGUAGAGCUUCCAGACUCCGACAGACUAGGAAGAAGGAGCUGGCCAGGCACUUCCAAAAAUUUUGACCAUGAAAACCCUGUGAAUAGCAGCAGAGCAUUGUCUGAUGCAGUGCCGGAAGGUGAGAGGAUGGCGCAGAAACACCCGGCAGGGUUCCGCUCUGCUGUACGCAGGGCCGCUAGGAGUCGGAAUCCAUUCCACGGCACAAACGACAAAAAUUUUAAUAUGUAUCCUUCCUUUUUUCAUACACAUGUGACCAUAUUUUAACAAAUUGGAAAAAAUGUGCUAUAAACUGAUGAAUGAUACUUCCAUGAGCGUUUUCUCACAUCAGUUUCUUUCCAAGCGUCUUUGAUCCAUAGCACACACUCUAUCCUACGGAUGGUGUACUUCAUUUACUCCACCUAUUGAGACUUUUAGCCUGUUACCAUUUUUUUUAUUAUAAACACCACCACAACAGGCUUGCUUGGUCUUAUAAAUAUUUAGUGAUGUUUCCACCCGGCCAUUUGUAUGGGCUUUGGUUUGAGAAAAACUGAAAAUGGAAGAACAGAGAAGGUUAAUAGACAUUAGUUUGAUUUUUGUCUGGCGGAGAAGGGAGAGAAGGAAGGGCAGCCAUCUCAAGUGUCCCCUCUGUAAAGGUCGUUUCCGUCCCCCGGGCUCUUAAUUCUGUUUGUCUGACUUGCCUCCUGUGCGCUUUACCAUCUCCGUCUCCCCACAGCUCCUCACCUUCUCGCCACCCUGUCACAAUCUCUGUUUGCCCUCAUCACACUCUGGGGGCUCUCCUCAGGGCCUCCCUGGUCUUGCCCGCUGUUGAUGAAGGUUUUCUGUGUCUCGACUCAGUGCCUGAGAAGUUAUUUCUAAGAGCAGCAAGUGAAGGAUCCCGGCACAGUGUAUGAAGUCAUGCCCAUAAAGCUCUUCGGCAAAUCACUGCAUUGUUCCACCCGUUGGGUACAGCCCGCAAUGCGGCUGCAACUGACCGGGCCCAAAGACAAGCAACAGUGGUGUGACCUCUGGACUUGUCUAAUUUCUCCACUGGACUAAGCAACUGCCCCUCCAUUCCCUUCCCAUCAGGCACUAUCAGUGUGUCAGCUCUAAUAACAACUAGAAAAAUGGGGACAAUCGUUAUUCCCAAGCUACAAUUUGAGAAACAUCUAAGAGAGUCAUAAAAUCGAAUAAGGCUCAGCAGAGUGCCUUUAGGAAAAAAAAAAAACCAUCUCAUUUGUUGCAGGUUCUUAAAAUAGUUCCCAAUGCUGUCCUCCACCUUCACAAUUAUUUUUGUCUUCAGUUCUAAAUCUGAAUGGCACAGAGCAGCAGAAUUUAUACAUUUAAGUUCAUAAGAGAACAGACAGCUCAUUAAUUCUUAACGUUGGUGGGAUUUGACUGUUUGCCAUCGUAUGCUCCAUUCCGAAAUAUGUCUGGGUCUGCUUUUCUGAGAUGAUUAAAGUGUCUUAUUGAUAACCUUGCGGCUGUUAAGAACACGGUGCCCUUCACGUAUGAGACAAGGUUACACGCCCCUCCCACCCAAGGGAGGGUGUGGGCAACAUCAACACGAAUCAUCUCACGUUUAUCCAUUCACAACUUCAUUUAGUCAAAUAUUUGAGAUUUUCCCAUGUGCCAAGCAAGAGAAAAAGCCCUUGUCUUCCAAGGGGGAGACAAAUAAGCAAAUUUGUAACAUAAUGAAAAUGUUACAAAAAAAAUAAAGCCAAGUAAGAGAAUGGAGUGUGUGGGGGGAUGGGGGUGGUACUUUAGAUCUGGUAGUUAGGGAAGGCCUCUUUGGGGAGGUGGCAUUUAAGUGCAGGAACGAGGCAUGGAAAUAACUAUCAGGAGGAGCAAGGCCAAAGCCCUCGAGAUGGGAAAGGCUCCACGAGAGAAGGGGAGCAGCGAAGAGGUGAGGGUAGCUGAACGCAGCGAGGCAGGGAGAGGGAGAGCUGAGGGGGCCGGGAGCCAGCUCAACGAGAGCCUGUCAGCCACGGACCUUGGUCUGCUCCACCAUGCUCUCUCCCAAGUGCCAAUUCACUGCAGACUCUCACGGUCCCUGAAUCCAGCGGUGACCACCUUGGGUCCCGGCAAGCUGGAAGCCCUUAGGGAUUCCUGGGAAAGCUCUGGGUCCUGUAAAGUGGUCACUGCGGCUGCCAGGCCCACCCUUUUGGUGGUUUUACAAUUCAGAUGAGCUGCUCCUACAGCCUAGGUCUGCUGCUAUACCACCACCUCACUUAACCAUCGACUGCUGUGUGGGGAUCACAGUUCCUGAGUCCUCCUGUAGACCAUGUGAUCUGUAUGUAUUUCCCCCCAUCCUAGAGAAGGAGGCUGAGUUUCAGGAGGUUAGGGACAAGGUCACAUUGUGCCUUAGUCAGUUCAGGUUGCUAUAACAAAGUACCACAGACCAGGUGGCUUAUAAAAUCUGUUUCUUGGUCGCUCUGGAGGCUGGAAGUCUGAGAUCACGGUGCCAGCACAGGUGUCGGUGGGACCCGCUUCGGGUUGCAGACUGCCAGCUUCUCACUGAAUCCUCAUAUGGAGGAGAACAGAAAGAAGUGGCAAGCUCUCUUGUGACUCUUCUAAGGGCACUAAUCCCACUCGUGAGGGUUCCACCCUCACGACCUCAUCUAAUCCUAAUUACCUCCCAAAGCCCGUCUCCUAAUACCAUCACGUUGAGGGGUAGGGUUUCAACACAGGAAUUUGGGGGGACACAAACAUUCAGUCCAUGACACUUGGUUAUUGAGUGAGGGUGGGAUUUAAAUGCAGAUCUAAUUGACUGGAAAGUCUGCUUUUCUUACAUCACGUUGCCUAAUCCUUCCUGAGCACUUCUGUUCAUUGAUCAAAAUAUUUAGUGAACAUCUGCCGUGUGUUUGGUGCUGUGCUGAGCAUCCCCGAGGGACGGAGACACAAAUAAGAGACAGUUCCUGCCCUCAAGCAUCUAGAAUCAAGUGAGCCGUCUAGUCUAUAAUACAUCCCCAGCAUGGAGUGGGAUUAUAACACAGCUCCACCACCACACACACACACACACUCACACUCACACACACACACCCCGUUUUGGACUUUCUCACACAGACAUUUGUCUUAUUCUUCUCAUUAAAGAAACUUGCCAGCUGCCAGGCAGGAUGGGCCACUGCCAAGCGUGAAAAGCAUGCGUUGACCCAUCUGGCCUUGGUUGACAUUGGUACUAUUGUUCACAGUUGGAUUUCACUUAAAUUUGGAUCUUAAUUGUCACUUUAAAAAAUCUUCAAAAAGAUCACCCUAUGUUGCAGGGCUAAAAUGGUAAGACGUCACUGUAGAAGCCUGGCCGUCACACGUCGGCGAUGCAGCCGAAGGGCAGCAGGAACUGCCACGUCUCUGAGCUCUCCCAGCAGUGUCAGAGCCAAGCCCAGGACUCACUCAGGCAUUUGAAGGACGAGCAUUCAGGUGGAGAACACACAGCUCUAUCAGAAGCUUCCAGACGACUUUCUAGAGAAGGUGUGAUACUUCCAGUGGUAUCUUAUUCAGCUCGGGAAUAUAUGAACUACAAGUUUAACCACAUCGGUGAAAUGUCUCAAAAUGAUCUCCAUCACAACAGUGCCUAAGAGAUUAUUCUCAGCGUCAGUACCCUGGUCGUUUCCUUUGCUAUAGUUCCCAUAAUUUGAAAUUACUUUAUUUGCUUGUCUUUGUUUCGCGAUGAGGUUAUCUUUUCAUUGUUGUUUCUCCAGCACAUGGCAAAAUGCCUCAAGCAGAGUCGGGUUGCGGGAAGCAGAAGCUUCUGAGAUGCUGUAUACCCACCGUGGCCAGGACGAUUUACAACUCUUUCUUUAGUGUCUGGGAGAAGCUUGGUCUCAAAAGUUUUAUUGUGACGCUGAAAAAAAUAAGUGCUAUGUUGUUGUCUAAAUAAAUAUACGCUACUGUGAGUUUUUUAGAACACAGAGUUAUGAAGACGUGAUUUUUUUUUUCUGAAAAAAAUUUUAUUAGCUUUACAGAUACUAUUUGGUGUUAAUUUUUAUGACUUGGCAGUUUCUCUUACUCAGUGGCAUCACAGAAUGAAGGAAACAGUAUAACAAGAGUAAAAGACCUUUAAAUAUUUUAAAGCUUUAAAUCAGAGAUUGUAAUAUUUGGGAAUCUCUUCAAACGACUCUCCCAACAUCUCUAACCCAUUAACAAAAAACUCUCAUUAGAUAAUGUGUACUUUCCAAAUAAUUUGAAAUCACCUUGAUAGGGCUUGUAGGCAAAUCAUCACUGUGGCUGGAAAGGAAGAUGCGAGCAAAUGUGCUGUAAUUGUACUGAAAGGAGCUGGUCCGAGGGGGUCCUCUCUGGGCGGCUCCCUGCAUCGUGAGCUCUGUGGGUGGCAUCGGCUUUGGAAUAGGAGAGCCUUUUUGAACGGUGAUGUCACGCUUACCUUGGGCAGGUGAUGUGUCCUCUCUGGGUUUCAGCUUCCUCGUCUGUGAAGUGGGGAAGAGAACUGCCAAUCCCCAGACACGAGGAGGAACCCGCAGGUCUCACACUCAGUGGCGCCCGCCGUACACGGCCCUUGUCUUGGUCCACUCGGGCUGCUGGAACAGAACACCGUCCACUGGGUGGCUUCUGAACAACACACAUUAAUUGCUUACAGUUCUGGAGGCUGGCAAGCCCAAGAUCAAGGCCUGGCAGAUUGAGUGUCUGGUGAGAGCCCCCUUCCUCACAGAGGGUCAUCUUCUCACUCUGACCUCACGUGGCAGAAGGGAGCAGCUAGCUCUCUGGGGUCUCCUUUAUAAGGGCACAAAUCCCAAACACGAGGGCUCUGCUCUCAUGACCUAAUCACCUCCCAAGGGCCCCACCU
This 9481-nucleotide long non-coding RNA is filed under the name Equus caballus (horse). RNAcentral's name for it is "lncRNA (ENSECAG00000039105.2)". Lineage: Eukaryota; Metazoa; Chordata; Mammalia; Perissodactyla; Equidae. The record is from RNAcentral.